UACAGAGACUGCAAGCGUUAUUCGGAUUCACUGGGCGUAAAGGGUGCGCAGGCGGCCGGGUGUGUCAGAUGUGAAAUCCCGAGGCUUAACCUCGGAACUGCGUCUGAAACUACUCGGCUAGAGUAUUGGAGAGGGUAACGGAAUUCACGGUGUAGCAGUGAAAUGCGUAGAUAUCGUGAGGAACACCAAUGGCGAAGGCAGCUCGCUGGGACGGUACUGACGCUGAGACGCGAAAGCGUGGGGAGCAAACAGG
Molecule: ribosomal RNA, 253 nt
Filed under: uncultured bacterium
Lineage: Bacteria
Description: partial 16S ribosomal RNA
Rfam family: Bacterial small subunit ribosomal RNA
Source: RNAcentral